CUUCAAGUCAGGUCAAGGUCUGCUCCACAUGUCUCUCAUUUUUCUUAGAACAGUGGCUGCCCCAGGGCAGAAGCACAAGAAAUAUACAAAGUCUCUUAAGGCCUUCCCUCAAAACUGACAUACUGUUGCUUUUACCCACAAGCCACUAGCCAAAGUAAGUCACACGGUGUAUUAAUCGGGUCCUCCAGUGAAACAGAACCAAUAAGACAUAGGUAUAGAUAGAUAGACAUAGACAGACACAGUCACAGACACAGACAUAGAUGUGAAACUUAUUAUAAGGAAUUGGCUUAUGCAAUUAUGCAGGCUGGGACGUCCUGCAAUCUGCCAUGUGCAAGCCAGAGACCAGGAAAGUUGGUGGUGCAGUUCUGAGAACUGGAGAGCUGAUGGUGUACGUCCCAGUUAAGGGUAGGAGAAGACUGAUAUCCCAAGUCAAUCAAUCAGGCAGAGAGAGCAAAUUCUUCCUUCGGUUUUUUGCUCUAUUCUGGCCCUCAAGGGAUUGGCUGAUGCCUACCUACAUUGGGGAAGAAUCUGUUUUACUCAGUCCACCAAUUCAAAUGCUAAUCUCAUAGAGAAACACCCUCACAGACACAUUCAGAAUGAAUGUUUAAUCUGGGCACCCCAUAUCUCAGUCACGUUGACACAUAAAAUCAAUCAUCACAUAUCACUAAGCCUAAUAUCGAUAUAUCAGUUGGGCAGAGAAACACUCCACGGGAAAACAAUCCAAUUUACCACAGGAUUCCUGGAAGAUAUCCAAGGCAGAAGUGAGAAAUCUUGAAGGGAAAAAAAAAAUCAGGGAAAAUGAGAAUAAAACUUAUACCCUAUUUAUAUAGUUUUAUUCAUUACCAAAACUUUAGACUAUAGUAUCAUUUUUCUUUGAUCAUGCAGUCUCUCACUACGAUUAACUGAAUGAUGCAUACUAAAAUUAUAGAGACAAGUUAGACAAAGUAUUAUGCGUCAACUUCCUAUGCCAUAAGACGACACUAGUAAACAACUUCCUUAUGGGCUCAGGAUGAAACUGAGUAAUGUAUUAAGUAGGCAAAACAGCAUCAUCUGGUGAUAACUUAAUGAUUUUAGAAAACACACAGUAGGAUCCUAAUAUAAGAUAAACAACCCAGUUUUUCUUUUUUCCUUUAGUAGCAUCCCUGUUAUAGGAAAACUAAGCUGAAAUUGAAUUAACUAAGUUGAAAUUUGUUUAAUGCUUUUUAGAAUCUAGAUGUUGCCUUCCUCACCACACUUACCAAACUAUACUGCAGUCAGUAUGGUAGAUUACAAAACCAGCCACACUUCCCUACUCUUCCCUUUAUCUAUACCCUCUGCAAUGCACCUGUAUAAGUCUUCCUAUCAGGAGGUGGAAUUAGCUCACACUUUAAGUCUAGGCCAGUUUUGUGACUUGCUUUAGACAGUAGAAUUCAGCAUAAGUGACAUCCUACAACAUCUGAGUAUAGGCUCGCAUCUCACAAACUUCCAUUCUCUCUUGGACCUUGUCAUCAUUAUGAGAACAAGUCCAAGCUAGUCUGCUGGUAAAUGAGACACCACAUGGAACAGAGCUGUUUUGUCCCAGCUGAGAUUAUCCUUGAUGAACCAGGUCCUGGGCCACAGGCCUCCUCACACAGAUGCACAACUGGGAUUAGCCCAGAUUGGCAAAACCACCCAACAAACUCAUAGACUUGUGAGAAAUAAUAAAUUGGUUUUUGCUCUUUUAAGACACUAAGUUUUGGGGUUGUUAUGCAUCGGUAGUUACUGACACACGUGGAGUGUACUCAGCCCAGUCUUCUACCUCACCAAUGAUGUUGGGUAUGGCCAUGGUGCUUUGGCCAAUGGCAUGUAAAAGGCUGCAAUGUGAACGUAAACCUUAUAUGUGCUUGUGUGGGUGGGCUAGGCCUCUUGGAGUGUCCACUGUCUAUGAAGCCCCAUGAAGUUGUUGUUCUUUCAGCUUGAGUUCUGAAAUGCAAACAUGAAAACUUGAAAUUGACCUGAAACCUGUACUCCAUCCUAGACCACCCAAGAUCGAUCAAACCACAGCUGACCUGCAGAUUUGAGGAAGGGGAAGAAAAAGUCAGGAGUUAGCCAUGGAACCAAGAAGAUCCAGGAGAAGGUUGAGGGGAUGUUCAGAGAAGUGGAAAAUGAGAGAUUGAUUAUCAUGGAGGAAAAGCCCGAGAAGGUCCAGUAAAAGGUUUGGGAAGGUGAAGGAGGA
Molecule: long non-coding RNA, 2194 nt
Filed under: Homo sapiens (human)
Lineage: Eukaryota; Metazoa; Chordata; Mammalia; Primates; Hominidae
Description: PREDICTED lncRNA (TCONS_00166576)
Source: RNAcentral